CCUACGGGGGGCUGUAGUCGGGAAUUUUGGGCAAUGGGCGAAAGCCUGAUCCAGCAACGCCGCGUGAAGGAUGAAGUAUUUCGGUAUGUAAACUUCUAAAGUAUGGGAAGAAUAAAUGACGGUACCAUUUAUAAGGUCCGGCUAACUACGUGCCAGCAGCCGCGGUAAUACGUAGGGACCAAGCGUUGUUCGGAUUUACUGGGCGUAAAGGGCGCGUAGGCGGCAUUGUAAGUCACUUGUGAAAUCUCCGGGCUUAACCCAGAACGGGCAAGUGAUACUGCAGUGCUAGAGUGCAGAAGGGGCAAGCGGAAUUCUCGGUGUAGCGGUGAAAUGCGUAGAUAUCGAGAGGAACACCUGAGGUGAAGACGGGUUGCUGGGCUGACACUGACGCUGAGGCGCGAAAGCCAGGGGAGCAAACGGGAUUAGAUACCCUUGUAGUC
This 440-nucleotide ribosomal RNA is filed under the name uncultured bacterium. RNAcentral's name for it is "partial 16S ribosomal RNA". It matches the Rfam family "Bacterial small subunit ribosomal RNA", at positions 338 to 795 of the family's 1533-position model. The record is from RNAcentral.